This 188-nucleotide ribosomal RNA is filed under the name uncultured bacterium. RNAcentral's name for it is "partial 16S ribosomal RNA". It matches the Rfam family "Bacterial small subunit ribosomal RNA", at positions 338 to 524 of the family's 1533-position model. The record is from RNAcentral.
CCUACGGGAGGCAGCAGUGAGGAAUAUUGGUCAAUGGACGAGAGUCUGAACCAGCCAAGUAGCGUGAAGGAUGAAGGUUCUAUGGAUUGUAAACUUCUUUUAUACGGGAAUAAACGGAUUCACGUGUGGAUUUUUGCAUGUACCGUAUGAAUAAGGAUCGGCUAACUCCGUGCCAGAGCCGCGGUAAU